GAUGAAGAACGUAGCGAAAUGCGAUAAGUAAUGUGAAUUGCAGAAUUCAGUGAAUCAUCGAAUCUUUGAACGCACAUUGCGCCCGCCAGUAUUCUGGCGGGCAUGCCUGUUCGAGCGUCAUUACAACCCUCAGGCCCCCGGGCCUGGCGUUGGGGAUCGGCGGAAGCCCCCUGCGGGCACAACGCCGUCCCCCAAAUACAGUGGCGGUCCCGCCGCAGCUUCCAUUGCGUAGUAGCUAACACCUCGCAACUGGACAGCGGCGCGGCCACGCCGUAAAACACCCAACUUCUGAAUGUUGACCUCGAAUCAGGUAGGAAUACCCGCUGAACUUAAGCAUAUCAAUAAGCGGAGGA
RNAcentral lists this unclassified non-coding RNA (353 nucleotides) under soil metagenome. Its description in RNAcentral is "partial contains 5.8S ribosomal RNA, internal transcribed spacer 2, and large subunit ribosomal RNA". The stretch from base 1 to 120 matches the Rfam family "5.8S ribosomal RNA", at positions 35 to 154 of the family's 154-position model. The record is from RNAcentral.